Molecule: ribosomal RNA, 439 nt
Filed under: Limosilactobacillus oris
Lineage: Bacteria; Bacillati; Bacillota; Bacilli; Lactobacillales; Lactobacillaceae
Description: bacterial SSU rRNA
Rfam family: Bacterial small subunit ribosomal RNA
Source: RNAcentral
AGGGCAUGGGCGCAGCCUGAUGGAGCACACCGCGUGAGUGAAGAAGGGUUUCGGCUCGUAAAACUCUGUUGUUGGAGAAGAACGUGCGUAAGAGUAACUGUUUACGCAGUGACGGUAUCCAACCAGAAAGUCACGGCUAACUACGUGCCAGCAGCCGCGGUAAUACGUAGGUGGCAAGCGUUAUCCGGAUUUAUUGGGCGUAAAGCGAGCGCAGGCGGUUGCUUAGGUCUGAUGUGAAAGCCUUCGGCUUAACCGAAGAAGUGCAUCGGAAACCGGGCGACUUGAGUGCAGAAGAGGACAGUGGAACUCCAUGUGUAGCGGUGGAAUGCGUAUAUAUAUGGAAGAACACCAGUGGCGAAGGCGGCUGUCUGGUCUGCAACUGACGCUGAGGCUCGAAAGCAUGGGUAGCGAACAGGAUUAGAUACCCAAUGUAGUCCAA